This is an RNA transcript of Balaenoptera acutorostrata (minke whale), 3957 nucleotides long. It is a transcript of the gene named potassium channel tetramerization domain containing 6, with no coding region annotated. NCBI's taxonomy places the organism in Eukaryota, Metazoa, Chordata, Mammalia, Artiodactyla, Balaenopteridae. The record is from RefSeq and is a predicted model, not a curated record. The transcript is spliced from 5 exons.
CCGAGGGGCGGGGCCGAGGAGGCGUGUCGGGGGUCUCGCCACUCAGCCUGAGGCAACCUGGGAUCAACGUUAUUGAGAGCUGGCGGCUGCUGGCGCGCCGGUUGCACGCUGGGAGCACGUCCCUGCGUGUUGCUACGUGGAUCGCGGGGACCAAAAAUCAGACUCUAAGAAGCAUAACUCGAGGCCGAGGGACGUUCAGAAUUAGGCCAGGCUUCUGCAGGCGCUGAAAUUCUUUGGUACGAAGUAGCCCUUUUACACAGUUUGGUGACUGGGGAUUUACAGUCUUAGAGGACUGACAGCUUCCAUUCCUUCCCCGUGUAUGCUUUUAUAUGAACAUUUUAGUAAAGGCAAAACUCUAGAGACAGAGGGAACAACAGUAGUUGCCUGGCGCUAGGGAUGGAAGUGGGGAUUGACCUUGAACAGGCAGCAGGGAACUUUCUGGAGUGACGGAAAUAUUCUAAAACUGGAUGGUGGUGAUGGUUGCACACUGUAUGAAUUUAGAAGAAUUCAUCAAACUCUAUAUUUAAAAUGGAUACACUGAAUCUUUUGUAAAUUGUAUCUCAAAGAAGAAGGAAGAGGAGGAGAAAAAGAAGAAAGAAAAGAAAUAAUCAACAAGGAGGAAAGAAAUAAUCAACAAGGAGGGGGCAAGACGGGGCUUCUGGAGUCCUGGUGAUGUUCUGUUUCUUGAUCUGGGUGUUGGUUACAAGGAUAACAAUGGAUCCACUAUUAGCCAUUGAGGUGUUGAACCUCCACCAUCAUCAUGAAACCCGAGGACAUUUCAUAAACCAUACUGCCCAGGGUUAUGGCCAGGGUUGUCCCAGGUGAAGCAGGACACCCUGAGUGAAGACUGAGACACAGCCUUCUCUGUCAACAAGGUCACGUUCCAGCUGGUAAUGGACAAUCAUAAACGGAAUUGCUUGCUCUGGGGGACGCCAGCUGCCAGGUUGUCAGGAGAGGCUCAUGUGAAGAGGAGCUACUGCAUUCUGCGAAAAACUACAUGAGUGAGCUUGAAGCAAAUGUUCCUGCCCCAGCCAAGCCUUCAGCUGACUGCAGCCCCAGCUGACAUCUAGACUGCAAGAUCCGCUACCUACCUAAUCUGCUUCCAGAGUCCUUCAGAAACUGAGAUAAGAAAUGUUUGUUGGUGGACUUCCCUGGUGGCUCAGUGGUUAUGAGUCUGCCUGCCAAGCAGGGGACAUGGGUUGGAUCCCUGGUCUGGGAAGAUCCCACAUACCAUGGAGCAACUAAGCCCGUGUGCCACAACUACUGAACCUGCGUGCCACAACUACUGAAGCCUGUGCGCCUAGAGCCCAUGCUCUGCAACAAGAGAAGCCACCACAAUGAGAAGCCCGAGCACCGCAACAAAGAGUAGCCCCCGUUCUCCGCAACUAGAGAAAGCCCGCACGCAGCAACGAAGACCCAACGCAGCCAAAAAUAAAUAAAUACAUAAAUAAAUUUAUUAAAAAAAAAAAAAAGGAAAAGAAACGUUUGUUGGGGGACUUCCCUGGUGGUGCAGUGAUUAAGAAUCCUCCUGCCAAAAAAAAAAAGAGAAUCCUCCUGCCAAUGCAGGGGGACACGGGUUCAAUCCCUGGUUCGGGGAGAUCCCACAUGCCGCAAAGCAACUAAGCCCAUGUGCCACAACUACUGAGCCUGCACCCUGAGCCCGCGCACUGCAACUGCUGAGCCCACGUGCCACAACUACUGAAGCCCACGCACCGAGAGCCCGUGCUCCGCAACAAGAGAAGCCACCACAAUGAGAAGCCUGAGCAUCUUAACGAAGAGUAGCCUCUGCUCGCCACAACUAGAGAAAGCCUGCAAGCAGCCAAAAAAAAAAAAACAAAAACAAAAAAAAGAAACGUUUGUUGGGAAUUCCCUGGCGGUCCAGUGGUUAGGACUUGGCACUUCCAGUGCCUGGGACUGGGUUCAAUCCCUUGUCGGGGAACUAAGAUCCCCCAAGCUGCGUGGUGCAGCCAAAAAAGGAAGAAAGGUUUGUUGUUUUAAGUCCCUAAAUUUUGGGACAACUUAUGAUGCAGCAAUAGAGGACUGAUCCAGAGGAUAAAAGCACUUAGCAUAGUGCCUGGCACAUAGUAGGGGCUUUAGGAAAUGCAGCAUCUGUAGGUCUGGAGUUAUGGAUUUGGGAAUCUUUGGGCUUAGAGACAAGAAUGGAAUCCACAGAGGUGGCUGAGCCAGUCCACAGGGAGGAGUAGAUGGAGAAGAGAGUAUGGCCUUGGCCAGAAACCUGGGCAUAAGGAGUGGGUAAAGCAAGAGGAGGAGCAUCUCCAUGAGUCUAAGAGGAAGGAGGAAAACUAGAACAGGGUUCGGGGAAGAGGUUGUCCCUAGGAGAGUGUGGUCAGUGACAUCACUGCAGGGAGGCCUGAGAGGAGAUCUGAGGAGUGUCUUUCGGAUUCAACAACAAGGAGUUUUCUGGUGGCCCCACGAGAGCUAUGCAGGUGGAGAAGUGGGCCCUAAGGUCAGAUUGAAAGCUGUGGGUUGGUAUAUAAGGGUAAACACUUUCUACCCCCAAGCCCCAAACCAAGAUGGUUUACAGGAGAAUCCUAUAGAAAAUCUAAACCACAGAAAAACCCCAAUCUUAUAGAAGCUGCUCUAGUGAGUAGACACCGAUUCCUUAAUUUAUUUUUUUAAAAAUUAUUUAUUUAUUUAUUUAUUUGGCUGCGUCGGGUCUUAGUUGCGGCACGCAGGAUCUUUGUUGCAGUAUGCGGAUCUUUCAUUGCAGCACGCGGGCUCAAGAGCGCUCGGGCUCAGUAGUUGUGGUGCAUGGGCUUAGCUGCCCUGCGGCAUGUGGGAUCUUAGUUCCCCAACCAGGGAUUGAACCCCACGUCCCCUGCAUUGGAAGGCAGAUUCUUAACCACUGGAUCACCAGGGAAGUCCCCCCUUAACUUAUUUUAUGAGGCUCAUGUAACUUUGAUAGCAAAAUCAGACAAAGAGAGAAUAAGACAGGAAAAUAGUAGGCAUAUCUCAUUCAUAGAUACGGACACAAAAACUCUAAAUUAUUAGCAAAUGAAUCCAGCACUAUAUUGGAAAAAAAAGCACAUCAUCAAGGAAUGCAUGGAUGGGUUAUAGUAAAAUCCAUGGUUGUAAUUAAUUACAUUAGGGGGGAAAAUCUCACAUUUGAUAAAAUUCAACACCCAUUCAGAAUAAAGCAGAAUGGUACAUCCUUACUUUGAUAAAGGGUAUCUACCAAAAAUCUACAACAAACACCAUAUUUAAUGGUGCCAUAUUAGAAGCAGUCAAGAACAAGAUAAAAAUGUCACUAUCAUCAUUGUUACUCAACAUUGUGCUGGAGAUUUUAGUCAGUGCAGUAAAAUAAGGAAAAGGAAGUAAAGACUGGACAGGAAGAUACCAAAUGUUAUUACUUACAGACUCUAUAACUACUUACAUAGAAAAUUCAAGAAAGCCUGUAAACUUCCUAGAACUAAAUUAGAACUAAAAAAGAGUUUGCUGGAUAUAAGGUUAUUAUAUAAUAUGAACUACAUUUCAGUAACCAUCAAUAGGUUAUAAAAUACAAAUUUGAAAAUAUAAUUUACAAUAGUAUUAAAAACUUUGAGAUGUGUAGGAAUUGUUCUGAGAAAACCACUGACAAAAUUAAUUCCUCUCAGUUUUUAGUUGAGGAAAUAGAAGCCCCGAGAGGAGAAAUGACUCCUCCAAGGACACCAGUAAGCCAGGGGCAAUUUUGGAUUUUCAGUGGCACCAAAUCCUGGAGAUCUGUGUUGGGUACUUUCAGCAUUACCUUUCUUCUGUAAAAAAUAAAACUCGUAUUUUUCUGAUUAUAAAUUCAGCAUCCGUGCAUUCUAGAAAAUAUAGAAAAUUCAGAAGAACAUUUGGAAGUAGUAAGUCACUAAUAUUCCCAUCAUACUGCCUAGAACUAGGAUCAGUGAUUUCGUGUAUUUCCUUCAAAAUUUUUGCCUGUGUAUAUUUACAUUUUUAAAAAUAAAAUUAGGA